RNAcentral lists this long non-coding RNA (213 nucleotides) under Elaeis guineensis (African oil palm). Its description in RNAcentral is "long non-coding RNA (EGUI_LNC063782)". The record is from RNAcentral. Lineage: Eukaryota; Viridiplantae; Streptophyta; Magnoliopsida; Arecales; Arecaceae.
GUAACAUACAUCUUGUUAAUUGAAAAAUGAGAAGGAGAUUUUGUUACCCCGUUCGUACUUUGCAUUGAAUCGUUGUCUGCCAAACUUCCUUUUCUCUUAUUUUUCUCUUUCUUCUUUUUUUUUUUUUUUUUGACGUCGUCCUUAGGUCAAUGGUGGUUCUUUUAUUCGUAUUGAAUUGUUGUUUGUCGAGCUCCUUUUCGGCUUUUGUGUCGU